UACAAAUGCCUUGCGUGAGGGGUCUCAUGGUGACUAAUGUUUUGAUUAUUUGAUAAUUGAUUCUACCGAUUUCAACCUACAGAUUAAAUCAUGAGAAGUCUCGAGGUUACUAAUGUUUCGAUUAUUUGAUUAUGCUUAUUUCAACCUACAGAUCCAAACCAUAAAAGAAAAUGGCUUAAUUGCACUUUUGCUCCCUCAUCUUUUAUCAUUGUGCGAAGUUCAUCCCUCAUGUUUAAAAUGAGCGAAUUUUCUCCCUCAUAUUUCAAAUUGUGAAAAUCAGCUCCUUCCGUUAGUGAGCCGUUUAAAACUUAACGGAGCAGCUGACAUGGCUUACUAUUUGCACCCCUUGUUUCCAAUUUACACCUACACCCCCUGUUUUAAACUGAUAAACCGUUAAAAAAAAAGGAAAAUGAAAUUGAGGCUUAAAUCUUCAUCUUCAACCUCAUCCCUAUCAUCAAACAAAACCCAGAAACUAAAGGGUUAAUUUUUUUUGAAAAAGAAAAUUAUAGAACUCAUUCUCUUAAGGUAAUCGUACUGUAUCUGGUAAAUGAUGAGUGAUGACCUGCAAAAUGGGAUUUAAAGUCAAAGAUUGAGAUGAAACAUAAGCAUAUGUUAAUUACACAUUAAAAAAAUAAAAUUAGAAAACAAGAAUUGUAAAAAAAAUCUCAAAUCUCUUUCUUCUUCAUCUUAAUUCCGGAUUACCAAUCAUUCAUGGCCAUCAUCCAUAAAAUCAUCAAACCUCUAUCUUCCAUCUUCUUCAACCAAACCCAGACCUCCUUCCAACAUCUUCAUGAAAAUCAAAACCUAAUCUCCAGAAAAUCAAACUUAUUCCCAAAAAAUCAGACCCAUUCAAAUGUUUUAAACCCAGAAAAAACAUUCAAAACCUAGAAAAAAAUCCAAAUAUUCAGCAAGAAGUGGGCCAAAGGAUUAACCCAGGUCGAGAUUAACCCAAACCCUAGAAAAAAUCUGAAUCCUAAUCGAAUACAGGGGUUACUCUGAGGAAAAAACGAGUGUGUCAAAGGGAUUAACUCAAACCACACCAUCCCCUCCCUUUUCGAGUCGCUGCACACGCCAAACCCACCAUCGUUGCUCUAAGAAUCACCGUUGCAGUACCCAAACCCCAUCAUCUUCUCCUUUUGAUCAACCUCGACCCACCUACCAGAUCUGCAGCGAGAAGAUGCGAAGAAAGCUCUAACCUGCAACAUCUAUCUCUCUCUCUCUCCCAAUCUGCAAAUCCUUCAGUCAGAUAGCGGAGGAGCUGCAACCACGGUGCCUCUCUCUCUUGUUAUUCGUGGGAUUGCAAAAACAUUUGUGGUACUGAAUCGUCUGCGAGGUCAUGGUGUGCAUUCAACCAUGCUCAGUGUAUGCACAAGAAGAACCAUUGAACGUUUCUGCUUCUGCUUUGUCGUUUAUUUCAUUUAUUUUUUCCUUUAUUUUUAUUUCUGAUUGAGGGGUGUGGUUAGUAAAAGGAGGUGGUGAAAAUAGCAACCGCCGUUAGUAAUUGGAUGGAAAACUAACCGCAGCACAAUUUGAAACAUGAGGGAGGAAAUUCGCUCAUUUUAAUCAUGGGGGAGGGACUUCGCACAAUGGCAAAAGAUGAGGGAGCAAAUGUGCAAUUAAGCCAAAGAAAAUUACUUCACAGAGAUGAACGAAGUGUACCAGAAAGUUGCUUUGAGACUUCAGCAGGUUUUUCAAUGUCAAAUGACUUAUUGAGUACUGACUCUGAAAAGUGAGGUGCUCACACACUACCCUCUCCUUCUCAGGUAUCCACGUCAUUUGUCGAUAUGUAAUAUCUUUAUUUUCCUUCAACGGUUAAUAUAAUUCAUGUUCAAUCUUAAUUUUGGUUUGCCAACAAUCCAUGCAUGUUCAAGAGUCACUCUUCUUUUGGGGUUCUUGGCUUUCGUGUGUUUUGCUUCCUCUCAUGGACAAGUAAGUUGAUGAGUUGAGACAUCUAACUGAUACAAAACAGAUGAUUAUUUUAAAUUAAUGUGUUUCCAUUCAGUACUUUCCCCUCAUAUUAAAAGUUUUAAUGUGAUUUUCUCAAAUAUAAAUCCUUUUCAAUUCUUCCAGUAGACAUUAGACUGCAAAUCUUCAAUGAAUUGGUGUAUUCUCAAUGCCUAACAGUGUAGCCUCUCAAUGUAUUUCGAUAUUGUUCUCUUCACUGUCUUCAGCUACAGUACAUUAGUGUUAUAUAUAUGUUUUGAUGGCAUAAUGUUUACUUGAAAGACUAUCCUGAAGUGCAUGAUGGUUUGGUGGAUGCCAUUUUGUCUUAAGGAUUUUGUCUUUACUUUUUGUUGGUAUUUCAGUACUAUUUCUGCAGGUUCUAACAUGAAAGAUAAUUAAUUGCAACUCAUAAAUAAUUGCUCCAAUCUUUAAACAUUGAUUCUGAAUAAUUCAGACCAAUUUUUACAACACUGGACAUUAGCAGUAAACUACCAAAAGUUUCUACUUUUUUCUAUGAUUAGAAAAGUGAAGUGGUGGAAUAGAAAAGGUUGUUGCUGAGGGAUGAGCUGGAAGCCUGAAUUUUUAUGGGAGCUAAUGAGUUUGUUGAAGCCCUUUUGCAGUUUUACAAUCAGUUGUGCAUGAAGGAAAUUUGAUGGCUCAGGAAGUUGGAGCAAUGGCCCUCUUCAACCUUGCUUUGAAAAACAAUAGGAAUCUGUUGUGUAAAAUUUUAUAGUUGUUUAGGUGUUGAACCAUGAAGUAAAACUGAUUAUCAUAUGAUUGAAAAAUCAAAACAAUUCUUGAUGUUUGAAUACUGAGACCUUGAAUUUUAGCCAAAGUCUUACCCUUCAUGAUCUUUUAUUAUGAAAAUCAUCUUCAAUAAAAAAAUCAUCUACAAGAUUUGGGCAAUGGUAAUGCUCUAGCUCUUCAACCUUGCAUGAUGUGUUUGAAAUUAAGCAGCAGCUUUUUUCUAGAACUUGCACUUGACUUCCUUUAUCCAUUCUCUAGGCUAUUAAAUACUUACAGUGUUUCUCUCUCUCUCUCUCUCUCUCUCUCUAAAUAGAAUAAGGUAGAAUUUGCAGUUUAUUUUCUUUAUUGCAUAAAGUAUUGUAGUAUAAUUUCUAAAUUGUGACUUCUCUCAAUAUAAUAUGACUGACAUUUGCAGAUCCUUAAUUAAUGGGAACAUGUUUGAAACAUUUUAAUAAUGGAAACACAAAUGGAUCAAAUUAUGCUGAAGUUGGAAAUGAGUAAGAGGUUGUUGACACAUGGUGGUGAAUGAAAAUUGGGAUUGUGAUGAAGGCAGCAAGGAGUGACCAGAAGGCAUAGAGGUUUGCUGGGCUACUGGACGUGAUACAAGCAGGACUGAUCAGACUUGGCUGGGCUGCUGGACGUGGUACAAGCAGGACUAAUAACACUCAGUGUGCAAUUUGAUUGAUCUGAGGAAGUCUUUAGAAGUUGCGGCUGCUAUGAUUGUUACUCUGGUGUUGCUUUAUUAAGAUUAGUUUGUACAUACUCACUCUGUUUGUACAAGAUUUAGUUUCAAUAUUUAAAAAAAAAUGAAGGAACGUUGGAUUUAGUUUGAGGAAAGCAUAAAGAUAUGGUUCUGAUCAAUUAUUGUACCUGAUUGAUGUUGGGAAUUCACUAUUUAAUUACUUAUCAGUUAUAAUUCAUGAAUACCAUUCUGGUCA
Molecule: long non-coding RNA, 3629 nt
Organism: Lotus japonicus
Lineage: Eukaryota; Viridiplantae; Streptophyta; Magnoliopsida; Fabales; Fabaceae
Exons: 2
Source: RefSeq, a predicted model, not a curated record